This 85-nucleotide transfer RNA is filed under the name Thermoplasmatales archaeon. RNAcentral describes it as "tRNA-Leu". It matches the Rfam family "tRNA". From Rfam's summary of the family: Transfer RNA (tRNA) molecules are approximately 80 nucleotides in length. Their secondary structure includes four short double-helical elements and three loops (D, anti-codon, and T loops). Lineage: Archaea; Methanobacteriati; Thermoplasmatota; Thermoplasmata; Thermoplasmatales. The record is from RNAcentral.
GCAGGGGUUGCCGAGCUUGGACAAAGGCGCAGGCUUGAGGGGUCUGUCUCGUAGGAGUUCGAGGGUUCAAAUCCCUCCCCCUGCA